RNAcentral lists this ribosomal RNA (630 nucleotides) under uncultured bacterium. RNAcentral's name for it is "bacterial SSU rRNA". It matches the Rfam family "Bacterial small subunit ribosomal RNA", at positions 93 to 740 of the family's 1533-position model. The record is from RNAcentral.
UAGUGGCGAACGGGUGAGUAACACGUGAGAAACCUGCCCUGAAGACGGGGAUAACAGAAGGAAACUUCUGCUAAUACCCGAUACCCCCAUCGGAUCACAUGGUCUGAUGAGGAAAUGGAUUCCGCUUCAGGAGGGUCUCGCGGCCUAUCAGCUUGUUGGUGGGGUAAUGGCCCACCAAGGCUUGGACGGGUAGCUGGUCUGAGAGGACGAUCAGCCACACUGGGACUGAGACACGGCCCAGACUCCUACGGGAGGCAGCAGUAAGGAAUAUUGCGCAAUGGGCGAAAGCCUGACGCAGCAACGCCGCGUGCGGGAUGAAGGCCCUCGGGUUGUAAACCGCUUUCAGUAGGGAAGAAAAUGACGGUACCUACAGAAGAAGCCCCGGCCAACUACGUGCCAGCAGCCGCGGUAACACGUAGGGGGCAAGCGUUGUCCGGAUUUAUUGGGCGUAAAGAGCUCGUAGGCGGUUUCGUAAGUCGGAUGUGAAAACUCCAGGCUCAACUUGGAGACGCCAUUCGAUACUGCGAUGACUUGAGUCCGGUAGGGGAGUGUGGAAUUCCUGGUGUAGCGGUGAAAUGCGCAGAUAUCAGGAGGAACACCGGCGGCGAAGGCGGCACUCUGGGCCGGUAC